AGUGAAAGCUGGCGGUAGGCCUAACAAAUGCAAGCCGAACGGCAGCACAGGAGAGCUUGCUCUCUGGGUGGCGAGUGGCGGACGGGUGAGGAAUACAUCGGAAUCUACUCUGUCGUGGGGGAUAACGUAGGGAAACUUACGCUAAUACCGCAUACGACCUACGGGUGAAAGCAGGGGUCCUUCGGGCCUUGCGCGAUUGAAUGAGCCGAUGUCGGUUUAGCUAGUUGGCGGGGUAAAGGCCCACCAAGGCGACGAUCCGUAGGUGGUCUGAGAGGAUGACCAGCCACAGUGGAACGGGGAAACGGGCCAGACGCCUACGGGAUGCAGCAGUGGGGAAUAUUGGACAAUGGGCGCAAGCCUGAUCCAGCCAUACCGCGUGGGUGAAGAAGGCCUUCGGGUUGUAAAGCCCUUUUGUUGGGAAAGAAAUCCAGCUGGCUAAUACCCGGUUGGGAUGACGGUACCCAAAGAAUAAGCACCGGCUAACUUCGUGCCAGCAGCCGCCGUAA
RNAcentral lists this ribosomal RNA (506 nucleotides) under uncultured bacterium. RNAcentral's name for it is "partial 16S ribosomal RNA". It matches the Rfam family "Bacterial small subunit ribosomal RNA", at positions 29 to 523 of the family's 1533-position model. The record is from RNAcentral.